RNAcentral lists this long non-coding RNA (2259 nucleotides) under Rattus norvegicus (Norway rat). RNAcentral describes it as "long non-coding RNA NONRATT026808". Lineage: Eukaryota; Metazoa; Chordata; Mammalia; Rodentia; Muridae. The record is from RNAcentral.
AUCCAUAGUGGAACAAAAAUGGUGGUGUCAUAUGCAGCCAUGUCUGGAGGGAGAGGAAUGUAAAGUCCUUCCAGAUCGCAAAGGAUGGAGCUGUUCCUCUGGAAACAAAGUAAAAACAACUAGGGUAACUCAUUAACGACUCCUAAAUCAAGUAAUCCUCAAGGCUGGUUUCACGGAGACAUCAGAAUAGAAACUGGACUCCUACAGUGACCUGGAAGAUUUUUAUAACUCUCCGAAGAGACAUUUAAAACCCAUUUCCAAGGAAUUCUAUGGCUUGUCCUCUAAUUCCUACUGAAACUAAGACUUUAAAGAAGUCUGAAGUGAACUUUGGGUGCUGAAGACUUCAUCAGCUGUGAACUGUGCUUGGCUCAUGAUGUUUCUGAGGGAAGCGGAACUCUGCUCUCAUGGAGCCGGGAUAGGGUUGGUUUUCCGGGCUGACACCAGAGACUGUCACCUGUAAGAUUUUCUGGCUUCAGCUAUGACUGCUCUUGUGUCUGAAGCUGUCUCCCAAGCACACUGUCCCGUCAUGGAUGUGCUCCUGGCUCCUUUGUUCCUUGUCUAAUAGGACUGUGCACAGCUUUGAGGAUGUUCCCUUUGCAAACUCUUCCGGCAUGGCAUAGACAGAGACAAUUUUAUUGGUAUUCUAACCUUGAAACCCUGAAAGCCUACAUGUUUUAACAUCUUGCUUUUGCCUCUGUAAAAGGAAUAGAAGUAUUUAUCCAUUGAUAACGAUAAUCAUUGGCAAAUCACAGUGAUCUGACUACAUCCCUCAUAAAAGAAUGUGUAGGCGAGCUGGCACAUUUCCCCAAGGCUAACGCGGACUGCAGCUCUCUGACAGUUAAACAGAUAGCAGUUAGGACUGGGUUCCAAUUCCCAUUACACAGUAUUCUGUGCCUCCAGUGCACCCUUCCUUCCAGUUUUUUUUAAAGUGUAUUUUCUUUUUUUUUAUAUUUCCUUUUACUUUCCUUCACAGAAAUCAUCAAUGUACAGUCAACUUAGCAGGUAGCUUUUGAUUUAAAAAAAAUAAAAUAAAACAGGCCAGGGAUGCAUGUGCUUCUCUAAUUUCUCAUCACUUACAUUUCUUCUAGCAUUUUCUUAAACUAUUCUUUCUGUCUCAUUUUAAUAUCAUCUCUUGCUCGAUUCCAAUGACUGCUUGAAUGCUUAUUAUUUGUUCAGUCUGUGGAUAGAAAAAAAAUCUGUUGAUUUUCCUUGACCACAAAGGUCUAAAUAUGUGCUUAUGGUUGUUCUAUUCAAACAUUUCUUGGCCAGUAUUUUGUCCAUAUUUUCACUUGUGAUUUUAGUUCUUCAGGAGUUUUCUUACAAAUAUUUAAAGGCCUUAAACGUUGAUUUACCUUUUUCUAAGUUAUUACAGAAUGUAUAAUUUUGUACGGCAUUUAUUUUGUUUCACUUGUGAAGCGGGGGAAGGGAACAGUGGUUAUGGCCACCCUAUAAUAAUAGUACAAUGUAAACCUAUAGUUUGAAGAAACAUAAAGGCAAGGGUUUUUUCCAUGUCUUGUUUAUUUUAACUUGAUCAAAAUGCUUCACAGAUCAUGCCAUUAGGUGGUCCGUCAUUUUAGUAAAAGAGUGAAGCUGUUUGGGACUUCUUGUAUUUCUAGAACUCAUUGGCAAAGCCAGUUAACCUUGUGUUGGUUUCUAGGAUGGAGGUUCACAUAUUCUAGAGACGAACUUGUAUCUGUUAGUCUGUAACGAUACUCAAAAAGAGUCACACAUUAACUAGAACCCUUUAGUAGGAAGAAGAGCUAAAAUUGUUAAAAAGUGUUAAAAAUUAAAUCGGAAAAACCACACUUUUAAUACUGAGCAAAAGUCAACUGCCUCAUGAAUAUGUGGAAUGCAGCGAUUCCCACCUCACUUUUAAGUGCUUAAAACCUGUUGGGUGGUCCAAGUCUACACAGAGUCAAAAUGAGAGGAGUAAUGUUUGUGCUGCACUUUCUCUGUCAAACGAAGCGAAGCACCACUACUUCCUCUGGUACAAAAUGAAAAACUAUCAUUUGGGAUAUUAAGAAUUUAUCCUAGGUUUGUUUGAAAUUAUGAAUCAUGCUUCUCAUUUUGAAAACUAUGUUAUUUAAACCAACGCUGGAAUUUCUGUAUUAUAUACAAGUGUAAUACAUGUCUAUCGAUAGAAAAAAAUAAAUGGAAUUUCAAAUAUAUGAUCUAGAAUAUUCCCGGUAGAUUAAUGUUGUGACUAUUCGGAAAAAAAUAAAUAAAAUUGGAAUAUAAAGUGGACUCACUUUCACAAGU